GCAUCCAGUUGGGCACUCUAAGGUGACUGCCGGUGACAAACCGGAGGAAGGUGGGGAUGACGUCAAAUCAUCAUGCCCCUUAUGACCUGGGUUACACACGUGUUACAAUGGACAGAACAGAAGGGCAGCGAACCGCGAGGUUGCCAAUCCCACAAAUCUGUUCUCAGUUCGGAUCGCAGUACUGCAACUCGCCUGCGUGAAGCUGGAAUCGCUAGUAAUCGCGGAUCAGCAUGCCGCGGUGAAUACGUUCCCGGGCCUUGUACACA
Molecule: ribosomal RNA, 266 nt
Filed under: Bacillus sp. T80C3
Lineage: Bacteria; Bacillati; Bacillota; Bacilli; Caryophanales; Bacillaceae
Description: partial 16S ribosomal RNA
Rfam family: Bacterial small subunit ribosomal RNA
Source: RNAcentral